Molecule: long non-coding RNA, 960 nt
Organism: Rhododendron vialii
Lineage: Eukaryota; Viridiplantae; Streptophyta; Magnoliopsida; Ericales; Ericaceae
Exons: 2
Source: RefSeq, a predicted model, not a curated record
CUGAAACAAAUAGAAGAAAAAAAAAAAAAAAAAAAAGAAUCUCCUCAUUCUCCUCCAAUCAAAAUUCGACAACACAUGAUUAACCACAGGCUAUUGUCCCCCAUGCAAAAAUCCAAAAUCCAAAUAUAUAUUCCCCCUUCUCCAUUCCCUUUUCUGGUUCCCAGCCAAUUUCUCAACCUUUCGGCAGAGAGAGAGAGAGAGAUUAGUGGAGGGAGAGAUUAGUUCACACCUACUUCUCCAUUUCUUCCACCACCUCUUCCCCCUACUGUCGCAACUGAACUCAACUCACCCAAUCCAACUUCUAAAAAUCAGCCCGUUACAGCCUUGUUCCAACUCUGUUUAAGCACACCAAAACAGCUCGUGAAAUACCAGUUCCGAACAGCUCCUUUCAGCCCCAAAAAUCAGCUGCAUUCCAGUCCAGAACCGCUGCGAUUCAGCUCCAAAAGCCGCCAUGUUCUGGUCCGAAUAGCUCGGCAAACCAGCUUCUUUCCAUUUCCAAAUCAGCUUCAAAACCCAUUCAAACCAGCACCGAACUGGGUCUCGAUCCGGCUCCAAAACAGCUCCAAUCGCAGCCUUGGAAAUCAGUCCGGAAAGCAGCCGAGCUCCGCCACCUCUCAUCACCAUCCGGAGGCAUCUCCACUGCCGUACACUACCACCUUUCGACCGAGCCGCCGCCACUCCGACCCGUCCUGAAAUCUCUCCGAAAACUGUUUCGCCGGACGAGAGGUACCGAAGAUGGAACAGAAGUGUCGUACGAUUCGAUCGAGUUAAAUCCUAAUGAGGAAGAAGCUGAAAACCUUGGUUUCCGUGCGCAUAGUCGUUCUGAUUAAUUUAAGUCUACUUUAUUUUGGAAGCUUCUAAGUUUAUUUGGAUAUUGUAAUAUUUUGAUUUAUUCGAAACGGUUGUAAAAUAAUGACAUUUGCUUUUGAAAUGGCGACGCAAUAAAUCUAUGAAUUUCUU